GUCGAGAAUCUUUCACAAUGGGGGCAACCCUGAUGGAGCGACGCCGCGUGGAGGAUAAGGUCUUCGGAUUGUAAACUCCUGUCAUGCGUGAACAAGGUUGCUUGGAUAAUACCUGAGCAAAUUGAUGGUAGCGCAAGAGGAAGAGACGGCUAACUCUGUGCCAGCAGCCGCGGUAAUACAGAGGUCUCAAGCGUUGUUCGGAAUCACUGGGCGUAAAGGGUGCGUAGGUGGCGUGGCAAGUCAGAUGUGAAAGCCCGGGGCUCAACCUCGGAACUGCAUCCUAUACUGCCAUGCUAGAGUACUGGAGGGGUGACUAGAAUUCUCGGUGUAGCAGUGAAAUGCGUAGAUAUCGAGAGGAAUACCAAAGGCGUAGGCAGGUCACUGGACAGUUACUGACACUGAGGCACGAAGGCCAGGGGAGCGAACGGGAUUAGAAACCCCUGUAGUCC
This 449-nucleotide ribosomal RNA is filed under the name uncultured bacterium. RNAcentral's name for it is "partial 16S ribosomal RNA". It matches the Rfam family "Bacterial small subunit ribosomal RNA", at positions 354 to 796 of the family's 1533-position model. The record is from RNAcentral.